This 433-nucleotide ribosomal RNA is filed under the name uncultured bacterium. Its description in RNAcentral is "partial 16S ribosomal RNA". It matches the Rfam family "Bacterial small subunit ribosomal RNA", at positions 29 to 507 of the family's 1533-position model. The record is from RNAcentral.
AACGAACGCUGGCGGCAGGCCUAACACAUGCAAGUCGAGCGAGACCUUCGGGUCUAGCGGCGGACGGGUGAGUAACGCGUGGGAACGUGCCCUUUUCUACGGAAUAGCCUCGGGAAACUGAGCGUAAUACCGUAUAUGCCCUUUGGGGGAAAGAUUUAUCGGAGAAGGAUCGGCCCGCGUUGGAUUAGGUAGUUGGUGGGGUAAUGGCCUACCAAGCCUACGAUCCAUAGCUGGUUUGAGAGGAUGAUCAGCCACACUGGGACUGAGACACGGCCCAGACUCCUACGGGAGGCAGCAGUGGGGAAUCUUAGACAAUGGGGGCAACCCUGAUCUAGCCAUGCCGCGUGAGUGAUGAAGGCCUUAGGGUUGUAAAGCUCUUUCAGCUGGGAAGAUAAUGACGGUACCAGCAGAAGAAGCCCCGGCUAACUCCGUG